Molecule: long non-coding RNA, 39049 nt
Filed under: Ananas comosus (pineapple)
Lineage: Eukaryota; Viridiplantae; Streptophyta; Magnoliopsida; Poales; Bromeliaceae
Description: long non-coding RNA (ACOM_LNC024353)
Source: RNAcentral
UAUGGAUUUAGAUUUGGCUUUGCGCGUUGACCAAUCGCCUAAAAUAGUGGGGCCAAUGACUACACAGCAGGAAUCCACGUAGGAAAAAUAGGAGCGAUCCAACCGCUUAAGUUUGAUGCUCAUAAAGUCUAGGGUAUCAAAAAAUAUUAGGGGAUCAAUCUCAGAAUGUGAUAAAACCAAGUAUUACCUAAAGGCCAUUGAGGAGCAGUUUUUCAGCUUCGAUAAAGCUUUGGCGAGCACGCUGAUGAAGCGACUUUCGGGCAUCAAGCACAAUCGAGUCAAGGGUGUGCGCGAGCAUAUAAUGGAGAUGCGGAAUCUAGCAGCUCAACUAAAGACUUUAAAAUUUGAGAUCUCCGACACCUUCUUAGUCCAUCUAAUUUUAAACUCAUUACCUUCCGAGUUUGACCCUUUUAAGAUCUCCUAUAACACACAUUAGAAUGAAUGGUCAAUAAAUGAAUUAUUGACUAUAUGUGUUCAAAAAGAGGAGAGAGACAUAAGCAGGAGAAGCCGAAAAUUAUAAAGAAUCUGUUAAUCUGGCAACUUAGCACAAAAGGAAAAAAAGUAAGGGUGCCUCUAAUUACAAAAAGUUAGCUCAGUUGCCAAUAAAAAAUUCUGGCAAGAAAGAUCAAUGCUANUGAGGAUACUUUUUAUGUUCCUAAAUUUUCUAGAAAUUUAGUUUCUGUUUCUAAAUUGAGAAAUAAAGGUUUCAAAUUUUUAUUUGAAAAUGAAUCUUUUACUAUGUUCUCCGAUAAUGUUAUUGUUGGCAAUGGUUAUUUGGUAGAUGAUUUGUACAAAUUUAAUUUGAGUCAAUUUUUUGAAAAUAAUUUUAAUGUUGAUCAUGACAUUGGUGUUAAAAGGACCAUUAUUAAAGAAAACUCCUCCUAUUUACGGCACAAGCGUUUAGCUCAUAUCUCUUUAGAGAGAAUAAAGAGUUGGUAAAAGAAAAGAUCUUACAAGAUCUCGAAUUUACCGAUUUUGGUACUUGUGUGGAAUGCAUAAAGGGAAAGUAUACUAACACAAAUACCACUAAAGGUGCCAGAAGGAGUUCUGAAAUUCUUGAGAUCAUACAUACAGAUAUCUGUGGACCUUUUCCUACUCCUUGUUUCAAUGGUUAGAGAUAUUUUAUCUCAUCUAUUGAUGACCAUUCAAGAUAUAUGUAUCUCUAUCUCUUAUUUGAAAAAGCUGAGGCUCUUGAUGCUUUUAAAGCUUAUAAGGUUGAGGUAGAGAAACAAUUGGAUAGGAAAAUCAAGAUUGUAAGGUCCGACAGAGGUGGUGAGUAUUAUGGAAGACAUACGGAUAAAGGUCAAAUGACCGGUCUAUUUGCUCAAUUCCUCAAAGGCGAAUGCAUCAUUGCACAGUAUACGAUGCUUGGCACGCCCCAGCAAAAUGGCGUUGCCGAAAGGAGGAAUAGAACACUUAUGGACAUGGUAAGGAGCAUGAUUAGUAGCUCUUGUCUUCCAUCCUCUCUUUGGAGUGAAGCACUAAAGACAGCGGUGUAUGUUCUAAAUAGGAUUCCAUCGAAGGCUAUUUCCAAAACUCCUUUCGAGUUAUGGAAAGGAUGAAAACCUAGUUUAAAUCACCUGCAUGUAUAGGGAUGUCCAGCUGAGGUAAGGGUUUAUAAUCCACACAUAAAGAAAUUGGACCCUCGAACAGUCAGUGGAUAUUUCAUUGGCUAUGCGGUAAACUCCAAAGGAUUCAGGUUCUAUUGUCCAAAUCACCCAUCCAAGAUAGUUGAGGCCAGGAAUACGAAAUUUCUUGAGGAUUCUGAAGCUAGUGGGAGUGUUGUUUCUCAAAAGAUGGAUUUUGAGGAAAUAAGGAAUUCAACUGGAUAUCCAUCAAUAGAUAAUAAUUUAGUUGCUAUUCCAGGAGGUCAAUUUGACCGUAAUGAAGAUCAACUAAUUUUAGAGCAUGAAAAUGCUGAACCAGUUGAACCUCCCCAUGAAGAUUUGUCCCAAGAGGAACAGAUAAUUAUAGAGCCAGCUGCACAGAAUAAUGAAAAUCUGCAGGAAGAGGUUGGCUUAAGAAGAUCCUCAAGACAAAGGAGACCGGCGAUUCCUGAUGAUUAUGUAGUCUAUAUUCAGGAAUCUGACUUUGAUGUUGGACACCAUAAAGACCCAUGGACGUUUUCAGAAGCCAUGCAGGGAGAUAAAUCCUCACUAUGGUAUGAUGCCAUGAAAAAAAAGAUGAAAUCUAUGACGGAUAACAAAAUUUGGGAUCUCGUUGAGUUAUCACAAGGAGUCAAAGUCAUUGGCUGUAAAUAGGUCUUCAAGACCAAAAGGGACUCUUUAGGUGACAUAGAACAACAUAAAGCCAGACUUGUUGCCAAAGGCUUCACUCAGAAAGAAUGCAUUGAUUAUCAUGAAACCUUCUUUCCGGUAUCAAAGAAAGAUUCAUUAAAAAUUAUCAUGGCUUUGGUAGCUCAUUUCGAUUUAGAGUUACAUCAAAUGGAUGUGAAAACGGCAUUUCUAAAUAGGGAUAUAGAGGAGAUAGUCUAUAUGCAACAGCCCGAAGGUUUUAGCACAGAUGAAAAUAAUCACCUUGUUUGCAGAUUAAAGAAAUCUAUAUACGGACUUAAACAGGCUUCCCGUCAGUGGUAUAUCAAGUUCCAUAAUGUAAUUACUACAUUCGGUUUCGUAGAAAAUAUUGUAGACCAGUGUAUAUAUCUUAAGGUUAGUGGGAGUAAGUAUAUUUUCUUAGUUCUGUAUGUAGAUGAUAUUCUGCUUGCAAGUAGUAAUUUGAGUUUGCUUAAAGAGACUAAAGAUUUUCUUUCUAAGAAUUUUGAGAUAAAGGAUAUGGGUGAAGCCUCUUUUGUCAUUGGCAUAAAGAUUCACAGAAAUAGAUCUCAAAGGAUUUUGGAUCUAUCUCAGAAAGCCUAUAUUGAAAGAGUUCUAGAAAGAUUUAAUAUGGCAAACUGUGCACCUACAGCUGCGCCUAUUAUAGAAGGCGAUAAAUUCAAUCAGAAAGUGUCCUCAGCAUGAUUUAGAACGAGAACAUAUGAAGAGCAUACCCUAUGCCUCUACAGUAGGGAGCUUGAUGUAUGCGCAGGUCUGUACCAGACCUGAUAUAGCUCAUGCAGUGGGGAUGUUGGGUAGAUACCAAAGCAACCCUGGCCUUGAUCAUUGGAAAGCUGUAAAGAAGGUUAUGAGAUAUUUAUAAGGAACAAAGGAUUAUAUGCUCACCUACAGACAUUCUGACCAUCUUGAGGUGGUUGGAUAUUCGGACUCUGAUUUUACUGGAUGCGUGGAUUCUAGAAAGUCCAUAUCAGGAUAUAUUUUCUUACUUGCUCAAGGUGCUAUAUCUUGGAGGAGCACUAAGCAAGAUACAGUUGCUACAUCCACUAUGGAGGUAGAGUUCAUCGCUUGCUAUGAGGCUUUGUCACAGGCUUUAUGGCUGAGAAAUUUUAUCUGAGGUUUAAGAAUUGUUGACUCUAUCUCAAGGCCAAUUAAGAUUUAUUACGACAACUCUGCUGCAGUGUUCUUUGCCAAGAAUAGUCGAGUUACAGAUCGCAGUAAACAUAUCGAUAUAAAAUAUCUUGCGGUGAAAGAAUACAACAAGAAGAAGGUGGAUAUCCAACACAUUGGGACCGAGAGGAUGAUUGUUGAUCCGAUGACUAAAGCAUUGCCGACAAACAAAUUCAAGGAUCAUAUUCAUUAUAUGGGUAUCUUGAGUCCAUUUACAGUUUAAGUGUUUUCUUCUUGUAUAAAGACUUUAAAGACUAUUCUUAUUUGAGUAAGAACAUAUUUUGAUUUUUGCACAUAUGCGCAAAAAGUUAUCUUUUGUACAUUGAAGUUUUAUUGUGCACUAAAGUGGAACUCUUGAGUUGAACUUAUAAUAAGUUCAUACGGUUGUAACUCAUAAAGUUAUUUGAUUAAGGAAUUCGUACUUUUGAUAUAUGGAAGGAAGUGUUCAUCUUUUGGGGCAUAACCGCUAUGAUCAAAGUAUUGCGAUUUCUUGGUCGAGUGGGAGAUUUUGACUGUAUAAUUUAGUUGGUACCUAAUAAAGUUUUUUUUUGUAUCGCCUAUGCGGUAAUGAAUAUGUCACUAGACCAAGUAGGAGAAUGUUGGAUGUGGCCCACGUGAUAUAUUCAAGGCGAUCUAUAAAGAUACGGUCAAUCUAUUAAGUCGAUCUAUAAAGAUAUGGUAGAUCUUACGGUUAGGAUGUAUUUGGACACAUCCUUGAUGGACGGAUGUGAUUUAACAUCCUUACAUUAAGUUAUAUAUAAAUAUGUAACAUACGGGAGUCCCGGUCUAACCCUAAUCCAAUAGUCUGUGACGGUUCCAUCUCCGGGGAUAAGGGAAUUAGACUCGAAACGUCCCAUCUUCUUGCAGAUCACGAACGAGGACGAAUCACGAGCAAGGAUCGCCGCUUACAAAUCAGGUACAGAAAUCGAAAUCAUGGUAGAAGGUACGAUCUUAGUUUCUCAUAAAGUUUCUUACAAUCAUAUCCAAACAUAAGAAACUGAUGAAAAAAAAAAAAUUUGCCGCAUCGAAUAUGUAUUAUGCAACUUGUGUUCAAACGUUUGGAUAGCUACUUCAUAUGCAAAAUUCUCUAUGAACGACAAAUAAAAGAGAAGUUAAAUUUUAAGUGAUAAGAUUUACCUGAUAUGCAGCGAUUGGUAAAGCAUAAUUGGCUUCUUUAAAUUUUAAGUGAUAUAAAAUUUACCUGAUAUGCAGCAAUUGGUAGAGCUGAAUUGUCUCUAAGAAACCGCACAACAUCCAAGUACGGCAAUGCUGGUUUCACCUAUCACAAAGCAUCACUUUACUUGUAAACCAAAAGCUGCAAGAAAAAGGCCCCAAAAUUGAAAAAAGGAGAAAGGCCGCUUAUCUGGCAAGAAAUUCACCAGAAGAAUAUCUGCACCUUCAGCCUCAUCUGCUUCAGUUUCUGUAAGGGCUUCUCUGUAGUUGGCUGGGUUCAUCUGGUAACUUUCAUCAAAAAAUAAAAAAUAAACACUUUGUAUUGGGCAAGUAGAUCACCCAAUGUAAUCAAGCACAUAACAUCAGUAGUAAUGGCCAUACGUUUUCUUAUCCCCAAAUCGUGGAUUUGAGUCUAGAGCUUCUCGGAAGGGGCCAUAGAAUGCACUCGCGUAUCUGCCCAAAAGAGAAUUAAUGUAGGCAGAAUUAGAAAAAUCAUUUAUAAGUAAGAAAUAUACACAGAUUGCAAGAAUUUGAAAAUGACAAAGAGUAUAAGAUACCUACUUUGCAGUAUAAGACAUGAUAGAGACAUCAUGGAAACCUUCAGCAUCAAGAGCCGCACGAAUUGCUCCCACGCGGCCAUCCAUCAUGUCACUCGGACUAACAACAUCAGCACCAGCACGGGCCUAUUUGGUCGUGCAAACAUAUUUUAAAUAUUAAGCUAAAUGUUGCUAUACAAAUCAGAAUUGUCAAGAAUACCUGACUAACUGCCUGUUUGCAAAGUUGAUGGACUGUUUCAUCAUUCAUGAUGACUCCUGUGAAAAGAUAAAAGAAGGAUUAACUAGAAGUUGCACGGUACUAAUCUUUCACAAUAUUGAUUUACUCGUAAGAUUAGAAUUGUUUUGCCCAUGAAUCAAACUGUACGUAUGAUUCAAUUUAUGAAUUGUAUGAUCUUCACAACUAUGAUUGAAACUACUAAUUUCCAUUACACCACUUGAAGAAAGCAAGUGCACAGAGAACGAAAAGAGUAAAAUAACUCACGGGGAGAAACAAUAAGAAAACUUCCAAAGAAUAAUAUUAACAUGAGAAUGGACAUUUCAAACUAUUUUAAAUAAAAAGUUCAAAUCACAAGCUUAAGAAUUACUUACCAUCUUCCCUUACAAUACCAUCGUGCCCAUCAGAUGAAUAGGGGUCCAACGCAACAUCAGUGUAAACAACCUAGGAAAACAUUAAAAAAAAAUUCAUUAGGAAUUUAUUUCGAAUGGAGAACCAUACAUUAAGAGUACCAUAUAACUUACAAUGUCAGGGUACUUGUCCUUGAGUAGGCGAAUUGCUCGAGGGACCAAGCCAUUAUCAUUGAAUGACUCAUCUCCUGUUUGUGACUAGAUGAACAAAAGAAAAGAAGAUAUAACUCUUAAUAUCAAGAAUAGAUAUAAAAUAAGAAAGUAUCUGUAUGUAAAAUAAACCUUCAAAGCAUCGGGAAUUUUCGGAAAGAGCACAAAACUGCUAACACCAACAUCUCGUGCCUUGUAAACCUGCAAACAACAACUGUUCAGCAUUUGGAAAUUGUUCACAAUGACUAUGAACAUCAGCUUGAAAGAGUCCUCAUUUAGAACUUUCAGGAAAGAUUGAUAACUACCAUAAUAUUCCGACUGAAAAUCUUACUUCAUGAUCAUUUCACAAGCACUAACAUUCAAAUGCUGUUGGAUAGUGCACCAAAAACGAUGCAAUCAUUUUACUAGUUUAAAGAAAAAAAAAACAGGUUGAAGUUCAUGUAUGAUCACCUCAUCAAGGAGGCCAUGGCGCCAUCCCAACCGAAAACAUCCAGGCAUAGCUCCAAUAGGAACAUCUUCUUCACCUACAAGUACCACAGAUUGGGAAGUUAAGUCCAAAUUAUUCUCGUCUUGCUUUGGUCAGAACUAUUUAAAAAAAAACAGAAUAGAAAAACAUUGAAACACUUUUGCCUAUCAACCUUCAUGAAUAAAGAGCGGAAGGACAAGAUUUGCGGCAGAUAGAUUUGUUUCUUGGAAAGAAACUCUAAGUGUCGCUGACUUUCGGUUACGACGUGGGCGCCUAGAAAGUGACUGGAACAAAGAGGGAAGUGAGAAAUCAGAAUUUCCUUUGAUACAUCUAAAGAAACAAAUCAAUGCGUAUAUCCUAAAAAUAUUCAAUAAGAAACACUCUGAAAUGUACGCUAAAUGAUGUAAUUUCAAAAGCCAGUAACUUCAAACUUACAAGAGGUUUAGCAUCCGGGGUUCCUCUAGGGCCGGAAGGCCUAUAGAGUGGCAGAGGAUCAGGGAAGUUGCCGGCCACAGCCGCUGCUUCACAUUCCUCGAUGCUUCGGCUUGAAAUCUUAGCCGAUGUGUCUUGCUCAUUGCUUGCUCUAAUAACCAUCGAUGGUUUGGCCUUCGCUCUCGCCACAAAAGAAACACAUCUCUGGGGACAAAUCAGCCUCAACCCAACAUAGUGAUGGUCAUAUCCAACUCUUAUCAGUCGAACAUUUCCGGUUGAGAAUGAGAUUGUCGAAGCCAUGACCUAUAUCCUAGUUGCCAAAUUCCAUGGGGGAAAAAAAGAAAAAAGAGAGAGAGAGAGAGAGAGAGAGAGAACAAGUAAUUUGCCAGAGCUAAUGUUCAGCUAAUUAUUAGACAAAAAACAUAUAUAAAAUAAUAACUCAUCCAGAUAAUAAAUGAUGAAAAUGUCCAAAAUAAGUACUUAAACAGAUCCCUUUUUUAUAUUUAUAUAUACAUGGGUCUUUGGCCAAAACAAAUUUCCGACACCGGCAACUAUUAAAACAGCACAAUUUUUUCACUAUAACACAAAUUAAAGCCCACCCACCAAGCAAAACAGCCUAAUUGAAGCAUACCCACAUGCAAAUUUCAACUACCCACAAGCAAAUUUCAACUAAAUUCGCAUAAAAUUGAUCCCCAGUGACAACAAGCAGUGUUUUUUUUUGCUGAUUUGAUAGAACCACAAAAGAAUCUCAGCUACAUUCGAACAAAAUUGAGGCCCGGUGGCAACAAGUUGCGAUUUUUUGGCUUCCUAAUCAAAUCUAAUAACAGAUUAUCACCAAAUUCGACCAUUUAUCCUAAAUUUCCAACCAUUCUAGCAUAAACAAAAAAAAAAUAAACUGUUUGAUUCAAGAGAACAAACUGCAACUAAGAUUUUAAAUUGGAAGAAGAGAGAGAGAGAGAGAGAGAGAGAGAGAGAGAGAGAGAGAGAGUUUACCUUUAUUAGAGAACGGCAAAGGAGGAGGAGGAGGAGGAGGAGGAGGAGGAGGCGAACUCCCUUAUCCUUUGUUUGGUGUCCUAAGAAGAGAGCGAGUGGGAGAGAGAAGGAAGUUCGAGAGGGUUUGGUUGGAGAGGGAGGAGGAAGAGGAGUAGGAAGAGGAUGGAGCAGUCGAGGCCGGAGAUGUGAGAGCGACAGGAUAAAACAAGUUUUGGAGACCCUCCUAUCUGCUCAUACGUUUUAGUUUUUCUUUCAUUUAAUACGAGGCAGGCCACCUUUGUCUCCACCUUCGCCUCUCUCUUCUUAGAGGGUAAAAAAAGAACGACAGAAAAAAGAAGAGAGGAGAGAAAAAAAAAAAAAAAAAAUUUAGUCAAUUUUUUUGAAAAUUCAGUUUGAAUCUGUAAAAUUAAAAAGUUUUGUAAAAAUUCAAAAUUUGUAGAUUUUUUAUACAAAUUGGCCAUAAAAAAUAUUAAAUAUUUUUUUAUAUAUCUCACUUGUCGCAUCCAUCAAAGGCUUGACGAUGUCUUCUCAAGCGACAACGAUAGUGACGGUGACGACGAUCUCUUUGACCGCUACGGAUGGGGAUGGUAGACGCGCAUUAGUGAGAGAGAUGUGAGGAUUGUAGAUGAUAGCAGACCGUUUGGAUACAUUAAUUAGAAGUAUGAAGAAAAAAGGAAAAGGAUCAUGAUAAAAUUAAUUGGAGAUAGAGAGAUGAGGAAUUGUAAAUGGCAUGGGACCAUAGAUGCAUUAAUUGGAAGCUUGGUAGUGGGACCUUUUAGUUACAUUAAUUAUUAAUUAGAAGUAUGAAGAAAAAAGGAAAAGGAUCAUGAUCAAAUUAAUUGGAGAUAGAGAGGUGAGGAAUUGUAAAUGGCAUGGGACCAUAGAUGCAUUAAUUAGAAGCUUGGUAGUGGGACCUUUUAGUUACAUUAAUUAUUAAUUAUAUUCAUUAAUUAAAAGUUUAGUCGAGAGAAGAAAAAAGAGUUAUAUGCUCCCGAGGGUGAAGGAGAAUUUGUCAUGUGGUAAAAAAAUAUUAAAGAAUCAUAUAGAUUAUUAUUAUUAGAAGAUUAAUUAAUAUAUUAAUAGAUAAUAGAUAGAUUAAGUAUUUUUUAACAUGAAAAGUAUUAAAAAAAUAGUUAGAUCCUAAAAAAGUAUUAUAAUUCUUGGAUAAAGAUAAAAAAAUUAUAGACAAAUAGUUUAUUUUUUCCUUUUUUUUAUGAGAGCGGAGGGAUGGAGAGUGAGGUUGAGUUGAGAGAGGACAGGUGAAAGUAGAAAGGCAUGGCCAUAGUGGUGAAAACAGAUUGGAUGCAGUUUGGCAGUUGAUAAAAUUGUAUUUAUUUUUCUUUGAGAUUAAAAAUUCGAAUGCAUCAUAUAUAUGGAAUGCUAAAAUUUGUAUUAUCAACCCUGUUAGAAAUAGAUUCAUAUACAAUUAAAUAUUUUUCAAAUUCUAAUAUGAACAAAUUUAUACUCGGAUAAUAUAUAUCAAUAUUCAGAUAUAAAUAUGAAUUAAAAUUAGCACGACUAAAAUAUAAUGUAAUUAAAAUUUUACAUUCAUAUUCAAACUAUAAAUUUGUAUAUUUUAUUCAAUAAAAUUUUAGUGGCUUCUUUCUUCAAAAUAAAAAUCGAAAUCGAAAUAAGAAUUGGAAUACUAGAGUGCAAAAAGGGAAUAAUGAAAUCUUCUAAUCUGCUUGGUUAAUAAUAGGAAAUGAAAUAAGAAUUAACAUAUUAUUGUUUACUUGAGAAAAUUUUAAUUUUCUAUAAAAAUAUUUAAAAUAGAAUUAAUAAUUCAGCAUAGAAAUUAAAUUAUACACUCAAAAUAUAAACUUUAAAAUAUGAAUUUGAAUCCAUGGUCAGUAUUCAAAUUUCUUAUGCAAAUUUUGAUUCGCAAUUAAAAUAUAAAUUUUGAUCCAAAUUUAGGUUUAAAUUAAAAAAUCAAAAUGAUAUAAUGAAUUCAUAAUUUAAUCAAAAUGAAUUCAAAAAAUUAAAAUUUUAAUCAAAAAUUUAAAUUAAUUAUUUAAAUUAGUAAUCUAAAUUUAAACCAAAUUUGAACUUACAAUUUGAAUUUAAAAUUAAUUUUAAAAUGAAGCCACAAUUCAAAUUCAGGUUCAAAGUAAAUUUUGUAUCUAUAUUUCAAGUUUAAGUUCAUUAAAUUCAGAAUUAUAUUUUAAUCAAAAUUAUAUUUAGAUAUAUACAUAUAUCUAAAUUUAAAUAAUAAUUAUUAAAUUUUAUAAAAAUAUGAUGUUGUGGGAAAUUGACAUAUCCUCGUGCCAAAUAUAAAUUAAUAAUAUGAGUCCGGCUACUAUACUCUUAUGAGUAUAGAAUUUUCUUGCCCUCACAAGUUUUCGGUUGUUAAAUCUACCCUAUUAACCAUUUCCGCCCGUUAGAUUAUACUAUUCAAUCAACCAUCCACUCAACUCUAGUGUACUACUGUCAUCCUAACCGGGGACCACUAUCAUCCUAACCGCACAUCCUUUCAUCCAAUGAUCGAAAACUUACGAGUAUAAAUGGUUCUAUGUUCAUAAGUGUAUAGUAACCCUAGCCUUAAUGAGUCCGGCUGCUAUACUCUUAUAAGUAUAAGCUUUUUUGUACUCAAGUUUUUAGCCGUUAAAUUUAUUUUUUUGACCAUUUCCGCCCGUUAGAUCAUACUAUUCAACCAACUACCCACUCAACUCUAGGAGACAUUAUCAUCCUAACUACACAUCCUUUCAUCCAACGGUCGAAAACUUAAUACAUAUUAUUUUUUGGAUAAUCAAAUCCAUAUUUGAGUUUUUCGGAUAUCCAAUUUUGAAAUUGUUGAGACCAUAUUUGUAGUCGUUAGGAAUGUCAAUGGGUAUGGAUACCUGAAAUAUUAUCCGAACCCGAACCCGAACUUGGCAGGUUUACCCGAGCUAAACGGAUAUGGAUUCGGUUAUGGGUAUAGAAAAUAAAAACCUAACGAAUAUGGAUACGAGUAUGGAUUUUGUAUUUACUGGACCCAAACCCGAACCCGAACCCAAACCCGAACCCGACCCGAAUCCGAAUCCGAAUCCAAACAAAUUAUAUAACAUUUUGAUAUUGCAGUACACUGAACUUUAGCAAAUUAUAAGGUUCCAGUGUCAGAAUAGUAUUUUGAUCUAUUCUUUGUGUGUUUGAGGGUCGUUGACUAUGUACCGACCUUUUACUCGUGUUUUGUGAACGCGAGAGGGAGUUCUUAAUUAACACCAAAAUCUGCAAACUGCAGGUUUUGAGGUGUUGAGUACUGGUACCUGAGUGGUGUACCGGAACCCCAACGCAUGACCGAGAAAGCUGCUCCUGGGUUUGAGCUUUGGGGUGUUGAGUACCGGUACGGAGUCGGCGAGUAGCGGUACUGGGCCGGGUACCAGUACUGCAUUGAGCUGGUACCGGUACACCGUAAAUAACCCGAUUGACCGAGGCUUGGGUUUUGCGAGUCUGAGUGCCGGGUACCGGUACUCUAAUUUGAGUACCGGUACGCAGUGCAGUAAACUGUGCUUUUGUGCAGUUUGCUAUUUGGGUCUUUUUGAGGGUCUUUUUGGGGAUUGUUGCUUUGCCAUAGAAAGAGAGCCACCUAGAGACGAGGGAAAGAGAGAGAGAGACCCGGUUAGGAGAGAGGUAGAGAGAGAGGGGGGUAUUUGGAGAGUGGGGAAGAGAGAGAGACCGAGUGGAUGGGGAAAAAGGAGGGGGUGGGUAUGGAGAGAGAGAGGGCCAGCUGGCAAGGAAGGUGAAGAGAGAGAGUCGGUAGGGGUGGGGAGAAGAGAGAAAUGAUAGGAUAGGGGGAGAGAAAGAGGGGGCCAGCUGGAGAUGGAGGAAGAGAGAGAGAGAGGAAGAGGGUGUGAGGAGAGAGAGGGCCAGCUGGCAGGGGAGGGAAAGGAAGAGAGGCUCGAGUGAGAGAUAGCCUCGCCACGUGGAAUGAAGCAAAGAUAGAGGUACCACAUGGGAUCGGAGAAAGUGCCAAAUUAUAUUGUGUUAGAUAUAGAUAGUAGAAUGAAUAUGAAUAUAAAUCCUAUUACAUAUAUUAUACAUUUUUAUUUAUAAAUAUAUAUUUUAUUUAAAAUAUUAUAUAAUAUUUUAUUUAUAAAAUAUAUAUAUGUUUUAUUAUAUAAAUUUAUAUAUAUAAUAAUAUAUAUUAUUUAUAUGAGUCCGACUAUAGUGCUUCUGAAAGCACCACUCGUAUGGUGCUUUUAAUUUUAUUACCCUUGGAUCAAUACUUUGAUCAUUCCUAAUCCUUAAAUUAAUAUUAUUAUCCUAGAGGAACCACUAAACUCUAAGGGAUCACUAUCGUCCCAACCCUCCAAUUCUUAAUUCAAGAACCAAAAAGUGGGAAGCACCACUUACUUUAUAUUUUCAGAAGCAUAAUAGUUCUACACCUUUUAUGUAUAUUAUUAUACUAUAUGCUUUACCAUUUUAUCAUAUACUAAAAUUUUGAUAUAUUUAUAAUACAAAUAUAAGUUAUAAUAAUAAUAUAUAUACUAUGAUAAUUAGAGUGCGACUGGGAUACUAUCGAUAGCACUAAGAAUUUUGUGUUACCGAAUUUUCUAUCGUUAGAUAUAACCUUUUGAUUAUUUUUAUCCUUAAAUUAUAAUAUUCAACCAACCACUCACUCAACCCUAGGGGGGUCUCAUCAUUCUAACCACAUAUUUCUCAAUUCAAGUACUAAAAAACUAAUAGCACCAAUAACUUUGUGCUAUUAAUAGUAUUUCAGCCUAAUUCUCAUUAUUAUUAUAUAUAAAUAAUAUAUAAUAUAUAAUAUAAAAUAAAAGAAAAUUUUAUAUAAUAUUUUUUCUUUUCUUUUCAACAAAAUAAGUGCGGUGAAAACUAUUGUUUUUCCUAACCCAAAUAUUAAAAAAAUAUAAAAAAAGACUUUUAAUAAAUUUUUUUUUACUGAUUUUUUUUUUUUUUACACUUUUUAUGUAAAAUCAAAGAUCCCAUUUAAAAAGAACAAAAGCCAGUACCUAGUGGAGAAAAGUCUAGGCUAAAAAAGAGCUUCACGCCACAGCAGCGCCGCGAGGCAGAGCCCACCGCUUCAACUUCGUGGACAAAACAAGGACGGAAGAAUGAAACAGCACAGAAAAAUUAAAAAAAAAGGACAAAAGAAGAAAACUGCAAGCAUGAAAAUCCGUGGCGCCUCUUGUCCCGUCCCCGUGUCCUCUUCUCCUCUCACUUUGAGGAAGAAUUUUAGAAUGCACAUCAGUUAUAGUCAGAGAGUGACGUUUUCAACUAAUUAAAUAUUUUUUUUUAUAUUAAUCUAUCACAUUAUGAGUAUAAAAAAAUAUUAUAAUUUACUUAUUAUUGCUGAUAUGGUGCAAGUGUGACACAGUAUACUUUCUCCACUUCUAAGAAUGUCAACAAAUCUAUUUCCGGACAAAUUUUUAAAAAUUCGAAUCCGAAUCCGACCAUCAAAUUCGAAAUUCGAAUCCGAACCCGAAUCCGACGAAUUUUAAAAAUCCAUAUCCAAGCUCGAACCGGAUAAAAAAUUGAAAAUGCGAACCUAAUUCUGAACCCGAGCUUAAAAAUCCAAAUCCAAUUAAUUCUCUUUACAAUAAUUCAAAAUAUAUUACAUCAAAUUCAAAUUUUAAAGUAUAAAUUCAAAUACAACAUCAAAUAUCUAUUAUAUUAUAUAAUAUAAAAUAAUUUCAUGUUCGAAUUGGAUACAAUAAAAAAUUUAUAUUCGAAUCCAAAUCUGUCGGAUUUCUAUUUUUUAUAUUUAUAUUCAAAACUAUAUUUAUUUAACAUCAGAUAAAUUUAUUUUGUUUGGCUUCGAAUCCGAAUAAAAUUUCGAAUGUCUAUGUCCAUUCACAUACCUUUCCACUUCCAUGUACUUAUUGUCAUAUUCUUUCUGUUUCUCCGCCAACCUUUGGAUUAGAAUAGUAAAAAAUAUAAUUUUUAAAAAUUAAAAUUAAGUACGCCAAUUCGUGAAUUGGCGACUUCAGAAUUUGUUGUAAAUUAAGGUAGACAGGAUUUAAUUUUUCUCACCUUUUUUUUUUCUAAUAAGCAAUAUUUUAAAGCGAAAAAUGAUGUACCGGAUGCACAAAAAAGUCCCCACUGCUCGGCCUUUUUCCCAAAAGGCAGAGCAGCGGCGGCCAUGAGCCCCGAGUGGCAAAGGUGCCACACGGCACCCAUCGGGCACGUCUCCAUAUUACUUUUUACGCACACAUUGUCCAUAAAAUUUUUGCGAAAUUUCUAUUACUUUUUCAAAUGCUACAGUAGAAAAAAUAGAUUUUAAUAUGCCUCGGAACUUUCACAAGAUUGCAUGCAGGCUGUUUGUCGAGAAAGGAAUGUCUACUUAAUAACUUUUUCUUUUUUUUUUUUAAGAAAGAUUUACUAAAUUAUUUAGAAGGUUUUGUACUUAUUUAUUUUCACAGAAGGAGGAGUUAAGGUUCAAAUAGACUUUCGGGUUAAUUAGAAUUCAAAUAAAAUUUCUUUUAUAUCGCUGUUUGUUUGUACAAUUGUGGAAUAAAAGUUUUUCCAAUUUUAUUAUUUGUUUCGCAGGAUCAAAGUGAAUAACAUAAAAACUAAAAGUAUAAGAGAGAGGUUAAUAUUUUAUUGCUUUUUUUAAAAACUUUUUCUCUUCAUAAUUGAUUUGGUGUUGGGUCGACCGAAAUCAAUUACCAUAUUAAAUUUAAAUUUCGAUCGAAAGUAAAGUUACAAUGAACUAAAUAAUAAAAAUAAUAUUUAUGACUAAAAAAUUGCUUUAUCUCUCUCCACUUCAGCACUUUGCACUUAACGCUUAGGACUCUUUGUCCAUUUUGGUUUUUUUUCCAUUAAUACAUAUUUAUAUAGAGAGAGAGUAGAGCUAUUAUACUUUGAGAAGUAUAAGAGAAUUGGUGCUUCCAACUUUUUGGCACUUGGAUCAACUCGUUUGACCAUUCUUAUAUUUAGAUUAAUACUAUAACUUUAGGAGGAUCACUCAAUCCUAAGCAUAGUUAGUUAAUUCGGAUUCGGCAAAAAUUCGGUACGGAUAUAAUACGUAUAAAAUUCGUUUUCUAAUUUUUAAAUUCGUUGAAAAAUUCGGAUUAAAAAAAGAUUCGGUAUAAAGUAUAAAAUAUAAGAUAUAAAAUAUUAAAUAAUUUAUAUUUAAAAAUAAAAAUUAUAAGUUUUUAUUCAUAUUUUCAAUAAUUCAGAAAUAAUUCGCGAAUAAUUCGGCUGCCCCAAAAAUUUGCGAAUAAUUCUCUUUUUUGGGAAAAAUUCGUAAACGGACCGUUUAAUUCGGAUUUUCAAUAAUUCGCGAAUUAACUAACUAGGAUCCAAAGGUGACCACUCAAUUCUAAAGAGACUACUAUCAUCUCGACCCUAUAAUUUUUUAUCCAAGCGUCAAAAAGUCGGAAGUACAAACUCUUUUAGAUUUUCGAAAGUAAAGAAUAUAUAUAUAUAUAUAUAUAUGCUACUAUACUAUCGAUAAUACCAAGUGUUUGGUGCUAUCGAGUUUUCGAUCGUUGGAUGAAAGGAUAUACUGUUAGAAUGAUAGUGGUCUCCGGUCAGGAUGACAAUAGUCCCCUAGGGUUGAGUGGGUGAUUGGUUGAAUAGUAUAAUCUAAUGGAUAAAAAUAAUCAAAUGGUUGAUCUAACGGCAGAAAACUCGAUAGUACAGAGCUUGGUACUAUCAAUAGUAUAGUAGCCAGACUCUCUCUCUCUCUCUCUCUCUCUCUCUCUCUCUCUCUCUCUCACACAAAUAUAUAUAUAGUUGAGCUAGAAUACUUCCAAAAGAACUAAAGAGGUGGUGUUUUUGAGUUUUUAGUCUUUGGAUGAAGAGAUGUAGGGUUGGGAUGAUGAUGGUAGGUGGUGGUAGGUGGAAUAGUGUUUGAUCCAAUGGUUAUUAAUAAUCGAGGAGUAGAUACAAGGGCUAAAAACUUGGAAACACCAAGUAUUCUAGCUCAAAUAUAUAUAUAUAUAUAUAUAUAUAUAUAUAUAUAUAUAUAUAUAUAUAUAUAUAUAUAUAUAUAUGUAAACACUUGGUGUUACCAAAUUUUCUAUCGUUAAAUUUAUCCUUUGACCAUGUUUACCUGUUAGAUCAUAUAUACUAUUCAGCCAACCACCCAAUCAACUCUAGGGGACCACUAUCAUCCUAAUCAUACAUCGCUUCAUCCAAGGGUCGAAAACUUAAUAUGUAAUAUAUCGACUCCCCGAAUCGCGAUGCUAAUUUUGAUCGAAUUGAUCAAAGUGAGGCAAGGGGGUGAUAAGUGGCGUCCCCAAGUUACUUUGGAGGUGUGGGGAUGGUUUGUAGUGAGUUUCGAAAGUAUUUGGGUGUUUUCGGCCGAAACCGUGUGCGAAAACGGACCCCGUAACACUGCUGCUGUGGGACUGCAGCUUUAGCAUUGAGUACCGAUACCAAGUCAAUGCAGUACCGGUACCCAAUAGAAGAGGAAAAUGGGCAGCUCUCGGGUUUAGCUAAGCCGAGCUGCGUACCAGUACCAAAGGAUGGGUACCGGUACUCAGCCAGUUGCCCGAAAGAUGAGCUCUCGGUUUUGAGUUGCUGUCAAGUUGGAUACCGGUACUAUGUAUCUAGUACUGGUACUGAACAUAUUGGGUAUCGGUACUGAGUGGCUGGUACCGGUAUCUCGCGAGCAAACCCGAAAGGCCAGCCCUCGGGUUUGGGGGGCUGUUUGGGUGUGUACCGGUACCGCGUAGCUGGUACUGGUACUAGGACUGUGCAUCGGUACUCCAGGUUAGACCAAAGCCUGCGUAGCUCUCGGGUUGCUGACUAGUACCGGUACUGUGUACCUGGUACCAGUACUAGAAGCCUCGCGUACCGGUACUCCAACCCAAGUACCAGUACUCAGCUUGCAAAGGACUGAAAAGUAAUGGGUAAAUAUGGAAUUGUGAGGGGUCUAAGUGCAAUUGUUAGGGUCUAUAUAAAUACCCCAACAUUUACACCUGUUGUUUACAUGCAAGAGCUCCUUGUUAUCUCCUCCUUCUCAUUUCCCCUCUCCUUCUCUCUCUAUAAACCUUCCCUCAAGGUGGAUUUGAAGGAGAUUUGAAGGUAGAAUUUGGUAGCUUUGGUGGAGAAGAAGCUCAAGAACAAUGAGGAUUUCGUGGAGCAAGGAGUCAAGGUAGGUUUCUUGCAUUUCUAGGUUAGGGUUUGGUUUAAAUACCCUAAUUUGCUAGUUUUUGAGAUUCUUGGAUUUCUAGAGCUUUGAUGAUGCUAUGAAAUCCUAGAAAGUGUGCACUAAAGGUAUCAUGUAGGAACCCUAGGGUUAGAAAUGGGGUUUUGUAAGAAUAUUAAUGGGGAUCUAUCAUGGAUUUGAUUUUUUGUAUUCCUAAUUGAAGGUUAAUUCGACGUGUUGGGAGGCUCAAAUCGACGUACCGACGAGUCUACGGUAAGCUUUUGAGGAAAAUCCUCAUUUUGCCUUUGUUUGCUGUGAGUCGAGAGUUAUAGGCGGCUAAAAAUCGCGAAACUUGGUUUCUCGCACUCCGGCAUCCUUACGAGGUGGGUGGUGCUAUCCUAAAUCUUUGAAUCCUUCAUUAUAUCUAUGUCCCCUUAUUGAGCAUAUAUGUAUAUGUAUAGUAUAGUAGUCAUGCAUUGUAGGGUAAAAUGAUAUGUGGUUAGAUGUGAGAUCUCUUGUAUGCUUUCAAUGUAGAAAACAUGUGAAACAAGGACCAUGAUAUAAAAACCCUUUGAAUGUAUGAACUCGUGUUGGACAAUAACAAUAGUAAACAAGGUGACAUUGUGAUUAGACGGAAUGAAUAGCACCAAGACUUAUGAAUGCUAGGCAAAGAAAACUAUGUAAACUUUUUGGCAAUUGUGACAUUGUAUCCUCCAAGUAAGGAUUCGAUUGUACUCACAGAUAUUCUAAAUGCUUGACGGUGGUCGCUCUACCUCAAGCGGUGAGCUCCGGAGUUGUCAUCACUGGGCGGUAGCAGAAUUCUCCCCAGCAGACGGUCCCGUCGGGUUGUAGCGGUAUUCUCCCAGACAAAAAGGGAUUUGGUUUGGUGAGUUAGGUUAACCAAAGGGUUAACCAAGAGAAUUGGGUGAAGGUAAAGGUAAAAGUGAGUUGCGUGCAUCAUGAGCAUAUUACCUGUUGUUCUAUUUUGUACAGGCAUUGUAGUAGCAUUGGUGUGGUUUGUUAUCUAUUUCUUUUUCCUACAUAUGCCUGAGUAGACCUAGUGGGUGAGUCGGCGAGGUCGGCGGCCGAACCCACUAGGAACUUUCAGUAGUUCUCACCCUACUAACCUUGCAGAUCCUAGCGCGAGCUGGGCGAUCGAGGAUCGCAGCAAGGGCAUCACGCCCUAGGUAGUGGACUUCCCGAGUAUAGCUAUGUACCUAGUUUACUUUCAUCUUCUGUAUAUGAUGAAAAGAGAUGUAAAGAACAUGUGAUGUAUUUUGGGAAAAUGUAAGAAUCAUGUAUGUAAUGAAAUCGUUAUGCAACUUUGUAUUUGGUUUAAUGUAAUCAAAGUACAAUGAAUGGAUGUAAUAGCUAGUUUUACUUCCACUUGUUUUGGUUACUUUCUCUCGUGUAAGCCAUAUAUAUCGAAAAUUUUCUGGGCAUUUCUUUAUACAUGUUCAUGAUUGUAGUUGUUGAACCUUGGGCAAACAGGGGAGGUUCUGUCUGUUCGGCAUUUGUUUACAUUCUCAAACGAUCAAAUUGGCGGUCGCGGGGUGUGACAAAUAGAAUAGUAUCAGGGCACGAAAAGUGAAAGUAUAGGAUGGACAUAGGGACCUUAGGAUUGGAGACCUUACGGACUUUAGGACAUGAGUAACGUGGACUUGAUUUAGAGCGAAAGCUAAAUGGAUUGGGUUAGUUGGUAGUAUAUCUCUAAUGGUGAUUAGGGACUAAUUUAAGUUGUUAUUUGUUCUCAACUUUGGGGGUUAUGUUGGCGGCUGACAACGUAAUGCCUAAAGGUGAGAACAAAUACACUUGAUUCACUACAAGAAAAAGCGGAUGUAGAGGCGGUUGUAUAGAGAUGGUUCCUACAACCGCCUCUACUUUGUCAUGUUAGAGGCAGUUUAGAGGCAAUUUUUAAAGACCGCCUCUAAAUCCAGUGGAAAACAAAAUAAAUUUUCUUUUUACUAAACCCUAAAAGUUACUCACCCUUUUAACCCUAUGAGCCGCCUAACCCUAACCUGCUCCCAAAAACUUACCGCAGUGCGGCCGCUCCUACUACGGUCGCGCAGGCCCCUUCAUCUCCUCCACUUGCUCGACCUCGCUCACCUCCCCCUUCUCGGCCCCUUCCAAUAUAUAUAUAACUAGGCUGGAAUACUAUCAAUAGCACCGAGCUAUUGGUGCUAUUAGUUUUUUAGCCCUUUGAUUGAGAAAUGUGCGGUUAGGAUGAUGUGGGCCCUCUAGGGUUGAGUAGGUGGGCGGUUGGUUGAAUAAUAUAAUCUAACGGGUAAAAAUGAUCAAAGGGUUAAAUCUAACGAUGGAAAACUCGAUAACAUCAAGCCCUUGGUGCUAUGGAUAGUAUCCUAACCGAACUCUCUCUCUCUCUCUCUAUAUAUAUAUAUAUAUAUAUAUAGAGAGAGAGAGAGAGAGAGAGAGAGAGAGAGAGAGAGAGAGAGAGUCCGGCUACUAUACUCUUAUGAGUAUGAUCGCCUUCGUACUCAUAAGUUGUUUUUGAUGAUAGAGCUUUCGAAUCGACGAUUCAUAUCAUUAAAUAUUAUCUAGAGUAUUUAAAACUUCUAGAAAUCAAAUUUUAUAAUUUUUUGAUAUUAUUUACCUUACGAUCAAAAGCUCACAAAAUUGACAAUUUUUAACGGCCGGUAUGAGAUAUUUACUAGUUUAACGGUGUAAAAGAAUCGGAAUAGGUUGAAUUUUUGAUAGAAAAUUCUAUUCACUACCUAAAUAAAGAUCAAUAACUCCGAUCUUAAAUUGAAGGAUCCGAUCAUCUAUUUUUAGGAUGUCAUUUGAUUUUGACCGUUCAUUUUAUAGCCGCUAGCUGGACUUUAUAAUGAUUUCGAAAAAUUACAAAAUUUAUUUUCUAGAAGUUUUAAAUAUUCUAGAUCAUAUUUAACGGUGUGGAUCAUCGAUUCGAAAACCCCAACAUCGAAAACAACUUAUGAGUACAAAGAGCUUUAUACUCAUAAGAGUAUAGUAGCCAGAGAGAGAGAGAGAGAGAGAGAGAGAGAGAGAGAGAGAGAGAGAGAGAGAGAGAGAGAGCGCGCUAGGCUGGUAUAUUAUCGGUAGCACAGAGGCUUCCGUGCUACCAAGUUUACCAAGUUGUUUUCAAUGAUGCGGCUUCUAAAUUGACGAUCAGCUCCGUUAGACUUGAUCUACACGAUUGAAAGUAUUUGGAAACUAAAUUUCAUAAUUUUUCGAUAUCAUUUGGCUAGUGAUCAAAAGGUCUCAAAAUUGACAAUUUUAAGGGUAGAUUUGAUGUGUUUGUGAAUUUAACGGUGUAAGACAAUCCAAAUUUGAUAAAAAUUUUUAUAGAAAAUUCUUUUUACUAUUUAGAGUAAGAUCAGUAUCUCUGAUCUUAAAUUCAAGUCUUUUAUUAUCAUUUUUUAUGAGAUUUUUAUUUUCAGCCGUUUAUUUUUAGACUACUCGUUUGAUAAGUAAAUGAUGCCGAAAAAUUAUGAAAUUUAGUUUUCAAAUAUUUUCAAUAGUGUAGAUCAAGUAUAAUGGAACCGAUUGUCGAUUUGGAAGCCGCAUCAUUGAAAACAACUUGGUAGCACGGAAGCCUCCGUGCUACCGAUAGUAGGGCUACUGUGCUAUUAGGAGUACAUCAAUUCUUAUGCUCCUAACUUUCAACCACCCAUCAAACUUGAUGGGUGGUUAGAAUGAGAGAGGGAAGAGAUAUUGGGGAGAAAUUAGGUGUCUUAAUUUCUCUUCUCCUUGAAAUCUAUCUACCCAAAAUCUCUCCUCUCUAUUAAUUACCCUCAUCGGACUAUAUAUAUAUAUAUAUAUAUAUAUAUAUAUAUAUAUAUAUAUAAUAUAUAUAAUAUAUAUAGAGUGAGGCUACUAUGCUAUCGGAAGCACGGAGCCUUUCGUGCUUCCAGCUCGUUUUCGAUGUUGCGACUUUCGAAUCGUCGAUCGGCUCCGUUAACUUGAUCUAGUAUUUGAGACCUACAAAAUAAAUUUUAUGAUUUUAUGAUAUCAUUUGCCUAGUGAACGAAGGGCUCAAAAUCAACGGCUGAAAAUAAAAUCUUACAAAAUGUAAUAAUAUGACAUUAAAUUUUAAAUCAAAGAUAUCGAUCUUGUUUUAUAUAGUAUAAAGAAUUUUCUAUUUAAAUAUUUAGUGAUUUGGAUAUUCUACACCGUUAAACUUGCAAACGGCACACUACGGCCAUUGAAAUUUGUUGAUUUUGAGACCCAUUCGAUCACUAGACAAUGAUAUCGAAAAAUAAUAAAAUUUAUUUCUUUAGAUACUCCAAAUCCUCUAUAUCAGUUUAACGGAGCAAUCGACGAUUCGAAAGUUGCAACAUCGAAAACGAGCUGGAAGCACGGAAGCUCCGUGCUUUCGAUAGCAUAGUAGCCUCACUAUAUAUAUAUAUAGAGCUAUGCUACUAUACUAUCUAUAGUACCUAGCUCUGGGACUAUAGUGUUUGUUUUCGAUCUUAGGGCGUUCCAAUCAACGACCACACCGUUAAAACUGAUCUAGGGUAUUUUAAGUUUCUAGAAAUAAAAUUUUAUAUUUUUUCGACAUAGUUUACCUUAUGAUCAAACUAUUUCAAAAUUAUCAAUUUUCAAUGGCUGUUAUGACGAGUUUGGAGUUUAACGGUUUAGAAGAAUCUAAAUUUCUUCAAAUUUUGAUAGAAAAUACUUUAAACUAUAUAGAUUAAGGUUAACAUUCUUGAUCUUGAAUUUAAAAGUCCUAUGCUCAACUUUUAAAAUUAUUCAAUUUCCACGGUCCAUUUUGAUUAAUUUAUUACUAAGUAAACGUAUCGAAAAACUAUAAAUUUUAUUCCUAAAAACUUCAUAUACCUUAGAUCAUAUUCAACGGUGUGCGAUCAUUGAUUUGAACGCCCUAAGAUCGAAAACAAACACUAUAGUACCGGAGCUCGGUACUAUAGAUAGUAUAGUAGUUUAUAUAUAUAUAUAUAUAUAUAGUUGAGCUAGAAUACUAUCGGUAGCAAACGGACUCCGUUGCCACCCAUUUAUUUUCGAUGAUGGAGCCUCCAAAUCGACGAUCGGCACCGUUGAACAUAAUCUAUACCACUUGAAGUAUCUAGAAAUCAAAUUUCAUGCUUUUCCGAUAUUGUUCUCUUAUCCAUCGAAUGGACACAAAAAUAAACGGCUGAAAAUGAAUAUUCUUAAAAAAAUGAUGAUAGGAGUCUUGUAAUCAAGAUCAAGAGUAUAGAUCUUGUUUUAAAUAGUUUAAAGAAUUUUCUAACAAAAAUUCAAUUGAUUUGAAUAUCUUUACGCCGUUAAACGAGAAAACGCCUCAUAUCGACCAUUAAAAUUACAAAUUUUGAAUCCCUUUGAUCAUUAGGCAAAUGAUGUCGAAAAGAUUUGAAAUUUGAUUUCUAAACACUUAAAGUGGUAUAAAUCAUGUUCAACGGUGCCAAUCGUCGAUUUGGAGGCUCCAUCAUCGAAAACAAAUGGAUGACAAAAAAAUCGGUUUGCUAUCGAUAGUAUUUUAGCUCAACUCUCUCUCUCUAUAUAUAUAUAUAUAUAUAUAUAUAUAGAAUUAGGUUGGAAUGCUAUUAAUAGUAAAACGCUCUUUUUACUAUCAAGUUUUUAACCCUUGGAUGAAAAAUUGGAGGGUCAGGAUGAUAUUAGUCAGUUAGAAUUGAGUGGUCCCUCUAGGGUUGAGUGGUCCCAGCUGGGUUAUAGUAUUUAAUCCAAUGGUUAGAAAUAAUGAAAAUAGUUGAUCCAAAGGCUAAAAAACUAGUAGCAAUAAUGGGAUUUUGCUACUAAAUAGUAGCUCAGUGCAACUCUCUCUCUCUCCNAUACGUAAGAAAAAAUACGUACUAAAUACGGUGAACCAUUUACCGUGUUCACCGCACGGUGAAUAGUUCACCGUGUUCAACUUAACACAUGGGCCCAGCCCUGCCCGCGUGGCGCUGACGUGGCGCCUGCGUGGCAGGCCCAGAAUUAUUUUUGCAAAUUAAAUUUUGACAGAACUAUUUUUAAAAUAAAAAUUUGUUAGGGAUCUAAAUGCAAAAAAAAGCCUAUUAUAUAGUAAGCGAUCGAGUCCCACUCACAUCGAACUACCCGAUAUAAUCAAUCAAUUUUGAUCUCCUUUUUUGGGUCUGUCUGUCUUUUUGCGAUCAUCCGGGAACUACCAAUUAAUUAAGGGAGAGAGAUCAGAUGGAGGAGGAGGAGGAGGGGACGGGCCGCGAAGGGUUGCUGGAGAAAGAGGAGGAGAGCUGCGGGCUGCAGGUGCGGGGGCCGGGAUGGCGGCGGCGAAGGCAGCUGAUGAUGAUCUGGGAGGAAGGGAAGCGGGUGGGGCAUCUGGCGGGGCCGAUGGUGGCGAUGGGGCUGACGCAGCUGCUGGUGCAGGUCGUCUCCAACAUGAUGGUCGGCCACCUCGGCCAGCUCUCCCUCUCCAGCGCCGCCAUCGCCACCUCCCUCACCGGCGUCACCGGCUUCAGCCUCCUCGUACGUUAGUUUCCACAUAUAUAUUAUUAUAUUUAUUUACUUUUUUAAAGAUCAUAAUAAUAUACGUGUUGCGUAUUCUUCUUUGUCGUGUGGCUAGAAUACUGUUAUUAUUAUAUAACAUAAUAUUAGAACCGCCUUUGAACCGGACUGUUUGUGAGGUUUGUCCGCGUCUGGCGCCCACAGUAGCCGGUCCCGCUGUCAUAGGUCUCUCAAAAUGAUUGAGAAUUUUAUUAGUAGGGUGUGUUACGGCUAGCGCACAAACAAAAAUGAACGAAAAUGGCGAACGUGAAGUAGACAAGCAACAAACAAGAAAAAAAUAAAUAACAUAUACAUUUACGUGAAAAAUCCUUUGCAAGGAAAAACUACGGGCGAGGGAGGAAAGAACUUCACUAUCGAAAAGGGGAAUACAAAGUUCGUCAAUACAAUGAUCGAUCUAUCGUCUCUAGAGCAAAACUUAGAAAGAUACCCACCACAUGCAUCCAUUUUCCUUCACAAUCUUCUUUUCCAAAUUGGUCGCACUUCGAAACUGUCGACGAGUCGGAGUUCCAAAACUAAAGUCGAUUACCAAUUUCGAGGCACAUCUAACAGAGUGAAAAUGUGAAGAGACCCCCUCAACUAUAAUACCCAAUUUGAUGAUAAACCCGUAGUCUAGAGUUUUUCUUUUUCUUUAUUGGAUUGAGAACUCUCUCAACUUUCAAUUGUUUUGAGUAAUCUGCAUUAGAUUAGCUGAAAAUUUCUUUAGUUUCAUACAACUAAAAAGAAUGAUUGAAAUAAAUUAAGUUUCUUUAGAAAAAGAAGUAAUUGAGAGCUGAAGGAGUGUCAAUUUUGGUGGCCUAUUUAAGAAUUGCUUAUAGCUGUGGGGGGGUGUCUCCAUACAUUUUUAGCUGUUAGUAAUCUAUUGAAAUGGGAUCCUAUCAGAUAUGUAAUUUUUAUGAGAAGAUUGAUCUGUUGUGAUCGAUUGCGGUUUGGGAAUUAUUUUGACUUUAAUUUGGUUAUAGAGAAUAUAAUGGAAUUCAUGGUGCCCAUUUAAUUGGGAGGAUACUGCUGUUGACAUUGGCUUUAUUGACUUAAUUUUUUGUAUUUUGAUACAAUAAAAGGUUUUAGAACUGUUAAAUGAAUGGGGCAUCAAAUUAGUUAACUAAGAAAGGCUGUUGGAGAAAUAUCACAUAUUUCCAAUAAAUGGCAUAGACCAGGUUUUUUGUGGAUGGGGCCAGUUAAUGUAAAACAUGGGCAACUUUGUUUUUGAUUGGGAAAAAAGGUGUUAAAGUGGAAGGAACCUUAUGUGGUGUAAUUUAAUUGGUUCCAUUAUAUAGUAGAGGAUGGGUCCAGGCAUUAAUUGAUUAGGUGGUCGUUUUGACUCCAAAAGCGCUUUUGGGACUUCAAAAAUGCACCAUCAAACAGGCAGUGUCUCUCUUUGUAUGUCACUAUGUAGCUUUUAACUCCACAUUGUUUUUUUUUUUUUUUUUUUUUUGGGGUUCUAUUAUAUACUUUCAUUGGGUGAUGAUAAUUCUUGUCCUCAGUUUCAAUCUCCUUGUAGUAAUUUGAAUUUUACUAUUUAGUUCCUAAAGUUUUCUCUACAUACCGAUGAAGUUCUUUUAGUUAUCUAUCUUUGAACAAGAGCCACUUGAGCUUCGUGGGUAGAAUUUUUGUUUUGCCAGAAGUGAAAAUUUGAGUUUGAAGAUGAAAUUUAAGGCAACAACUAGGGAUGAACUCAAAAUCAAGGUCAAACUUCAAGGACCUAGUUGAAAUUCCAAAUUUUGAAUUGAAAACACAGUCAAACAUCAGCUAUUCUAAUUAAGAAUAAACUCGAACUACAGGUUCCAAACUCGAACUACAGGUGAACCUUUGGACUAAAAUUGUAACUAACACUACUUUUGCAAGAAGAAUGAGUGGUGAUACAUGCAAUCUCAUGAAUUGUUGUUUUAGAUUUGUGCAGUGGAUCACAUAGGUUCUGAACUAGAGCACGGGUUAAUGUCCAGCCUAUGCAUGAUCUUAGGUAGUCAAACUCAUAGAAACAGAACUUUCUUGGACUUAAAUUUGGCACCCAAAAGUUGGAGUAGAGCCCCUACAGUAUAGCUACCAUUCAAGCUACCACGCAGGUUUGGUUUCAGAUUAUUUUCUAACCAAAAAUACAGUUAGUUAGAUGGCAAUACACGAGUAUGCAAGAAUCAUCUAACAAGAACUUAACAUUGAUGGAGUGUUUUAAGAACUUAACAAUGUAUCUUAGUCACUUCAUCGACCAUUGUAGGGUAAAAUUAUGUUUUCAUUAAUGAUUUCGUGAGCAGGUACCACAUAUUGAUAGAGGAAGUGAAAAGCGAUUGGAAAUGUCAUUAUGGGCAGAGGAGACCUUAAUUGGUUGACAACAAUCACAAAGAAGAUCAUGAACUUGAUUUUAUAUUUUGAUCUUGAUUCGUGGACUCGACAAAAUAUUAAAUUUCAUUUUCUUGGAAAGAAGAUGAUGUCGUGUGGUACAUAACGUAAAUUUUGGAUCCAAGGUUGAAGAACCACAAGUGGGUGUCUAACAUUGUGCUACAACAAAGUAGGUACUUGGCUGAUUUGUCACGCUUGAACUGUCAAGUGAUCUUCAUGAAGACGCCCAACUUGAUAAACAGUUUGAAAUGAAAAAAACUUCUUGAAGGAUAUAGAACAACCAGUAAAAUAGAAUCAGGUGAGUUGUGUGGUGAAAUGUAACUUCCUCAAGUAGGUGCCCAGCUUGAGCUGCGCAUGCCUCUAAUGUCCGUUGGAUGAGACAAAAGGCCACCAUAAAUCCAAAGAGUUGACCGUUUAGAGGAGUUGAAUUCUAUGAUGAAACCUCAUAUGAGUUAUAUUUAACAUUGUGCUCGUGCAUAGGUUCCCAAAACAAAGUCCUCUGAAUUUUAUCAACUAUAAUUCUUGCCCUCAAAGAUCUGUCCUUCAUAAUUGCCAAGCGGUGUGAGAUAGCAUGGCUCCAUUUGUUAACACGCGUAGAUAUACAUACAUUUGUGCCUUAUUGAAUGAUUCACAUCCUGUAUAUUAAUGUAUCAGUAUACUGUUAAAGAUGAUCAUCUAGUACUAGGGAAUCAUUUGCCUUGGAUGUUCUGCCAUCCGAUUUACAUAAUAGCAGAGCCCUUUGGAAGGUGCUCUCUUUCUUAGCACUUGCUGAGUGUUCCGAACCAUCUGUUGCUCCUCGACAAGGGAGAGGAUUCCCAGGAGCACUGCAGAUUGUCACCAUCUCCAAUAAUAACCUUUGUAUGUAGUGUUGCAAAUGCAGAGAAAAGAAUAUUUGAACCCUGUCAUCUUUCUUGUCUUGCCAGCUUUUAAAUUUACAGGUAAUCCGAUCUUCAAAUAAGUACAUUAGUAUUACUUCAUAAAAAUAAGCAGUUAUUUUGGGUGAUUAGGUGUUGGAACAGACCGAAUUUUGCCACUUUGAUAUCCUAUUAGCCUGUUGGAGUAUUAUCUUUCUUGUACUUUCUUCAAGAUUACUGAGACAAUAGCUAUGCAUUGGUAAACACUAAAGGGUAUUAAAGUUUUAGAGUGAAAUAUUGUUUUGAGUUUGCCGGAACUUCCGCUGCUAAUUUUCUUCCGGGUGUAAAAGAAAUGACUUCACUACUAAAACCGUUUUAGACCAACAAAAUAUGUGUGAGAUGUUAAUAAUUCGCAUUUGAAUAGUCCCAAAUAAGAUAAUUACUAUGAAAAGGUUGAUAUACACUAGUGGGGCCAAACGUAAUAUACUUAAGCUUUUAGGUUAAAUGGUUCAAUUAGAUAUGCCAACUCCCUAACAACUUGUAUCAGAGCCGAUGGUUUAACAUUCAUGAGUUACUCCUCUGAGUGGUAUGGUGUGAUCAAGUUAAUUACCCUUACGAACAUGACGGGUUCACAAAGGGGAGUCAUCAUAAUGCGAUAUGAUGGUUUGGUGUACUUGAAAUAAGUGGAUGGUUAUUGCAUUCUAAAAAGACGGGCCUAAGGUGACUUAUAAAGGGAUUAAGACAUGUCUUGGAGAAGAGCCGAAAAGUGACUCUUGAAGGACAUGUUUUGGAGAAGAGCCAAAAGGUGACUCGGUGCAGUGCUCAGAGAGUAAGGGGGAGGUGGUUGGUUCACAUGUGAAAGAAGGAGAAUGUUAAGAGUUCACAUGUGAAUAGUUCUACAUCUGAUAGUUACUAAGAAAGUAAAGAGUUGAUAUAUACUAGUGGGCCUGGACCUAAUAUGGUUAAGUUUUUCGGUUGAGUGGAUUCCAUUAGAUAUGCCACAUUCUUGGGCUCACGUGAGCCUGGGCUGGGCCUAGAACUUCCAAAAUAUGAGUAAAAUCUCUGAAUUCUAAUUCCCUUUUUACAAUCAGUGCACUACCUUUCAAUCUUUAGAAUUUUAUUGCUCAACUAUGUUUUCUCUAUUUUCGGUUGCCAUUGUGUUCAAUAAUUUGAUCUGUUAGAACAUUAGUACUAUGUGCCAAUUGCGAUUAAUAUAUUUUACAAAAUUUUAGAUAUGAAGUUAAAACCGAACUUUACAGAUAAGCACUAGAAAAAGGGAAAAGAAAAUUUCAAGUUUCCCUCCUCCAACAUCUCUAACACAAUCAUCUAAAUGAAUUUUCACGCCGUUCUUUUUCUUUGAUACUCGGGAAAUUGCAUUAUUUUGUAGAAGCUUUUAUGAUACGUUUAGGUCUACAUUAUUCUCACAACUUGAUAGCCGCCUAUUAUACCACUUUACUGGUUACUUGGUAUUAAAUUGUUCUCUUAAUUGAUCUCUUUUCUCAUUUUAGUAGUAAGAAGAGUGAAAAGAAAGAAUGGAGUAUUUAUGGAUCAUGAGAGUUGCCUUUUCUCCAAAGUCGUAAAAUAUCUCUCUUUUUUUUUUUUUUUUCUACCAUUUUCCAACUAAUUAACAUAGCCUAAAUUACAAACAGCUAGGAAUGGCAAGUGGAUUGGAGACUCUAUGUGGGCAAGCAUAUGGGGCGCAACAAUAUCGCAUUCUGGGAAUCCACACCUACAGGGCUAUAGUAACUCUCCUAGCAGUGAGCCUCCCCAUCUCUGUUUUAUGGGUCUCAAUGGGCAAAAUCCUCUCCUUCAUUGGCCAAGAUCCCAUGAUCUCACUCGAGGCGGGAAAGUACGCAAUCUGGAUGAUCCCCGGCUUAUUCGCCUAUGCGACUGUUCAACCCCUCAUGAAGUUUCUUCAGUCUCAGAGCCUGAUCAUUCCUAUGCUGCUAAGCUCGAUUGCGACACUAUGCUUUCACGUUCCUCUGUGUUGGGUUUUGGUAUUCAAGACACGAUUGGGCAACGUUGGCGCUGCUCUUUCUAUAAGCAUUUCAUACUGGUUGAAUGUCCUGCUGCUCGGAAUUUAUAUCAAUUUCUCGAAUUCUUGUAAGGCGACUCGAAUGCCUUUCUCAAUGGAGGCCUUCACAGGGAUCAGUGAGUUCCUGCGUUUUGCCCUACCAUCGGCAAUAAUGAUAUGGUAAGUUGUAUUUGUGUAAUUCAUAGUAGUUUUGUCCAUGAACGCUAUAUAAUUAAUUUGUACUUUUCCUCCUAUGCUUUUGUGUAAUUUGACUUUUGAUGACAUUGAGCACAGUCUUGAAUGGUGGUCCUUUGAGCUGCUUAUCCUGCUGUCUGGGCUCCUGCCUAAUCCAGAGCUUGAAACCUCGGUGCUUUCAAUUUGGUACAACAAAAACCAAACUUAUAUAAAUCACAUUUGUUUAUUACAUUUUAUUGCUUUUAAUUUCUUUUUAUCUUCCUGAGCAGCCUAACUAGCAUCACAUUGCUAUAUACUAUACCAUAUGGUCUUGGUGCUGCCACAAGGUACGAGCUAAAUCCAAAUCCUCAAGAAGUAAUUUUAUUAUACAUAUUCAUUCAUUGUCAAGAUACCAUCUGUAUGAGUGUUAUUUCCUAAUGAUUAGUACACGAGUAUCAAACGAAUUAGGUGCGGGGAACCCUGAAGGAGCUCGGUCGGCAGUCCGCGUCGUGAUGUUUCUCGCCGUUAUGGAGGCUGCUAUCGUGAGCAGCACGCUUUUGGCCUCGCGUAAAAUCCUGGGUUAUGCCUACAGCAAUGAGGAGGAGGUGAUAGCUUAUGUGACAAAGAUGGUUCCCCUAGUGUGCAUCUCUGUGAUCACUGAUAGUCUGCAAGGGGUCCUGUCAGGUUUUCUAUUAAUUACUAUCCUUCCCUCUCUAGUGUUUUUGUUGAAAUGGUUCACCUACUCAAAUUGCAAACCCAUUACUUGCUCUUUGGCCCAUUUCUCAAUUGCCCUCAAUGCAUAAAAGAAUUGCAUCAGUUCCCAUUGAAAUUAUUAGACUGAAAAAGGGAGUAUUUUUAAUUAGCAAAAGUAAAGAAAUGAGCAUGUACUUAGAAAUUUUCGUAAGAAACAAAAUGCCAAUAAGAGAAAAUUGAGAUAGGUAGCCUGGCUUAGAUUAGAGGUUUAUUAGAUGCUGCCCCAAGAGCAGUUUGCCCCUCUCAUGUACGUGGGUGUGGUAAGAGUACUUUAAGUUACACCUUACCAUCGGCUCGAUCUGGUGUCUCCUUUGACGGGCACAAACUACUGCAUAUAAAAUAUCGUUUCCUCUAGUUACUAGAAACAUGAAACCUAGAAGAGAAAAAGAACAGGACAAAGAGAGGUGGAACUUUUAACUUUGCUCUCAAUAUACAAAACUGUCACUGUGGCUUCAUAUGUAUUGUGGAGUGAUCAGUUGAACUAAACGGUCCUUAACUAAACCUAGCUGCCCUAUGCCAUAGCUAAGUGAUAUGUCGAAACACAGCGCAGAAAUUUGCUGUGACCAUUUCCAUGUAGCAACAUCAUCAUGUGAAGUGAAGAAAAAAAGGCCAUCUAUACACGCAACGAUUUCAACCUUACAUAUUUACCACUAUGUUAAACCACUAUCUUAAAUAGGCCCCAAAAACUAUGAGAUGAAAGAAUUUCACAGAAAUUGUUUGUAAUAUGAAGUUAGUUUUAUAUCUAUACUUCUAAUUAAGUUGCAACUUGUAUAAUGGACCUAGAACUAAAAAAAUUGGAUUUCAUUUACCAGAGCAACAAAAUUGGCAGUUUGGAAGACUUGUUCAGUUUGUAUCAUUAUACUCUAUUAAAUAUAACCCGUUGUUGUUUGCCACUAGUUUUUAUAUAGUUUUGUUUCCGAAUUCAACAAUCAUCUUAAAAUUUUGAGCCUAGUUAUUAAUGCUAAAAUGAGAUGCGAUCUUUCAUGCAGGGGUGAGCAUGGGCUAAAGGGAAAGAUUUUUUUUUUUUUUUUUUUUUUUAUGUAUAUGCAAAAUAUUUUUAGCUGACGAGUUGCUUAAUCCUUUUGCUUUUGUGUAUAUUAUUCAGUUCUUUUUUUUUUUUUUGCUGUCUAAAAUAUUUUUUAGCUGACGAGUUGCUUAAUCCUUUUGCUUUUGUGUAUACUAUUCAGUUCUUUUUUUUUUGCUGUCCUUUCUUAGAUUCAAGAACUUGUUGAGGCAAUUGUGUUACCAAUGACACACAAGGACCGGUUUCAGAGAUUAGGAAUUCGUCCACCUAAAGGAAUGCUUUUGUAUGGACCUCCUGGAACGGGAAAAACUUUGAUGGCCCGUGCAUGUACAGCGCAGACAAAUGCAAAUUUUUUGAAGCUAGCUGGUCCUCAACUUGUUCAGGUGAUUAUACAAACUUCUGCAAUCCUUUUACUCUUGUCCUGUUUCUUUGAUUCCCCUAGUAAGCUAUGUUGCACAAACACGGAUAUAGGGAUACAGAUAUGACACUAUAUGGAUAUGAUGAUACGACAAUUCCUAAAACGUCGAGAAUAUAAUACGCGGGGUAUAUUUGAAUAAAAUAUUAUUUUAUCUAUAUUUAAAUAUAGAAUUGGGCUGGAAUACUAUUAAUAGUAUUUGGACAUUUUUGCUAUCAAGUUUUUAACCCUUGGAUGAAAAAUUGUAGAGUUAAGAUGAUAAUAAUUCCCUAGUAUUUAGUGGUGGUCCCCCUAGAGUUGAGUGGGUGGCUGGUUGAAUUGUAUAAUCUAAAUGGUGGAAUUGGUUAAAGUGUAGAUCUAACGGCUAAAAAAUCGAUAGCAAAAGAGUCCAAAUACUAUUAAUAGUAUACCGGCUCAAUUCAUUUAUGUUGAUUAUAUGUAAUUAUAUAUUGAGAACAAUCAGGAUAUCUGGAUUAUAUUAAAGAACAUCUUCUGAUAUAUAUUAACUUGUAUAAUUGUUUUACAUCUGCUAAAAAAAAAGAAUAAUCAAUCAUAUGAAAUAAUAAUUCAAAAAGUUACGGCAUGAAAUUUGAAGCAUUCGUGGUUCAUAGCUAAUAAAAAUUAACUCUAAACCUUUCUUGUGGGCCAAAAUAAUGUGGGUACUCAUGUGCUUAAUUGGCUAUAUAUUAUCACUUUCAGUUUCUUUACUUUUCUUUUUCACUACCUUGUGUUCCGUCUCUUUUUUGAAUGUAAUAUUGUAAAAAUGACUGAGCAAAGAAAUUCUUGUUUGCUUUGCAUUUGCAAAGUUUUUUUUUUUUUUUUUUUUUUUUUUUUUUUUUUUUUUUUUUUUNGCAUGGGCUAAAGGGAAUGAUUUUUUUUUUUUUUUUUUUUUUUAAUGUAUAACAAUUCAGCCUGUAUAUUGUCGGAAGUUUUUGGUGCUCCCAAUUGUUUAGCAAGAUGUGAUACCCUUUGUUUCCUUUAAUUAACAGGUAUUGCAAGAGGAUGUGGGUGGCAACACUUGGGUGCCUAUGUUAAUUUGGGAUCUUUCUAUCUAGUUGGGAUCCCGCUGGCUGUAACUUUAGGAUUUCUGCUGCAUAUGGGUGGAAGAGGCCUUUGGAUUGGUAUAGUGUGUGGUUCCACAACGCAGUCUGUUCUUCUCUCGCUGAUAACAUGGUUCACUAACUGGCAACAAAUGGUUUGUUCCUUUCCCUCUUACAGAUACAAAGAUUAGUUUCCAAUGCUCAUAUUGUAUAAAGACAUGGUGUUUGCAUAGGUUUAUUAUCUACUAUUUGAGUAGUUGAGUGUUAAAUUAAACUAUGGACACUAAACUACUGGUCGAGUUUCACUUUGGUCUCAAAAUCAGGAAGCUUGAAUGUUCUAAACUUAGUCCUACUGUCAGCUUAUAUCACCCAGAAAGGUCGAAAUCUAGCAUAGCAUACCAAGUCAAUAUUUCUAAGACACUUAGUUAUGUGUGCAUAAAACUGAUCAUAAUUAACAGGUUUAGGAAUAAUGACUUGGCAUGCUACAUUAGAUAUGUCUCUAGAUGAUGAAAGCUGACAACAUGACUAAGAGUGGAAUGUGUUUGAAGUUUGAGCUCCCUAAUGCAACAUCGAAGUCCAAUGACCUAAAUGACGCUCAAGCAGUAGGUUGGGAAUACUAGAGUAAUCUAACCAGCAUUUGGGACUAUAUAACCUCAUUGGGAUUGUAAAAUCUUGCAGGCGAAUAUCGCGAGAGAGCGAAUUUUGAACGAAAAGGUACCACCGGAAAGCACAUUGAUCUAGCUGACCUUGUUGAUAAAUUCUGUAUCUCACUUUGCCUCACCAUAUUACUAGUAAUUAUCUUGUCUAUCUUGCUGAAAAAUAAAAAUAAAAAAACAACGGAUUACUUCAUUCGGCUGAGAAACAGAACCUUGCAUAGAAAAUUCUACGCCGUUGGACUUUUGUAGCUAAUUGCUGUUUCUAUUGAGGUUUUCUUACUAAUUAGUUUUGUUGAGUAAUUAAGUAUGCUAAUACGCAUUAAGACUAAUUUUGAACCGUUUUCAAUCCAUUUUUGAUUAGAUCAAUCUUUUGUCUAAUAUGAUUCAGUCUGAAGCCUUCUCUAUUGCAAGAUUCUGAGUCCGAUAUCCAUAUAUGCCAUUUGAUGGCUACUGUUCCAGGGGUGGAAACGAGCCGAGCUCGAGCGAGCUUACCUCGGCUCAAAUUCGGCUUGAAAUUAAUUUCGAGCUUAAAUUUAAGCUCAAGCUUGGAUUGAAAUUAAUUCGAGCCGAGCUCGAGCGAGCCUAAUUUCGAGUCGAGCGAGCUCGAGCCCUAAACGAGCCGCUUGAAAUUCUCAACAUCAUACGAUCAAUAGUUUAAUUUGUAUAGAACAUUAUCUGUAAUUUGAUAUAAAAAUAUAUCUAAUAGCUCAAAGUACAAAAUGUUAUAUAAAAUAUAGUAUUAUAAUAUGAAAAAAAUAAUUUAUGAGUUGAAUAUCUAAUCUUUUCAGCCUCACAUGUCUUUUUUUCCGUCUUCAAUCUCCAUAUUAUUCAUUUUUAUUUAUGCAGUCAAAAAUAAAUAAAUUAUAUAGAUAAAUAUUUGAUUAAACUAUCCAAUCAUAUAUAACUAAAAUUAAAAUUUUAUAUGAAUAAUAAUUUUUUACUUUAAAAAUAUUCUGUAUAUUUUCUCAAGCAUACAAUUAAUAGCAAGGUAGGCAACAGCAAGCAUAUGCUAUUACUUGGUAACUUGGAGGGCUUUCGGCUUGGCCGCUUAGGAUGAGAGACAGAAAAAGAGAAAGAGAGAAACAUAUUGAAAAUUUAGAGUUCUGUGAAAGAAAGAAAGAAAUGAAAAAUGUAUAAAUUUAGUAAAAUUUUGCUCUUUUAUUUGUCUAUUGGGUUUGUUUUUAUGGGCCAACAACAUUAGCCCAAUUUUAACUAAACUCAGAUUAUUCACUCAGCCUAUCUAUAAUUAAAAUAUAUUAUAUUUAUAUAUUUUUAUAUAUAUAUAUAUAUAGUGUAGAACUACUAUGCUAUCGAAAAAAUAGAGGAUUUGAUGCUUUCGAAUUUUUGACCCUUUGAUUAAGAAUUGUAUGGUUGGGAUGAUUGCGGUCCCCCUUAGGAUUAAAUAAUAUUCCUAGGAUUGAGUGGUCCCUACAAGAUAAUAAUAGUAUUAAUUCAGAGAAAUGAUUAAAGGGGUUGAUCUAGGAAUCGAAAAAUCGAAAGCACCAUAUCUUCUAUACUUUCGAUAGCAUAGUAGCUCUACCAUAUAUAUAUAUAUAUAUAUAUAUAUAUAUAUAUAUAUAUAUAUAUAUAUAGAGAGAGAGAGAGAGAGAGAUAUAUAUAUAUGGAGCUUUGCUAGAAUACUAUCGGUAGUAAACCAAGCGGUUUACUACCGAUUUGUUUUCGAUGAUAGAAUUUCUAAAUCGACAAUCGGCACCAUUGAACAUGAUCUAGACCAUUUAAAUUAUCUAGAAAUCAAAUUUCAUGAUUUUUUGGCAUCACUAACUAAACGAUCAAAGGAUCAGAAAAUCUAUAAUUUUAAUGGCCGAUAUGGUGCGUUUGCUCGUUUAACGGUAUAGAAGAGCUCAAAUCAACUAAAUUUUUGUUAGAAAAUUUUUUAAACUAUUUAAAAUAAGAUCUAGACUCUAGAUCUCAAAUAUAAAAAUUGCAUCAUCACUUUUUAAAGGAUAUUCAUUUCCAGCCAUUCAUUUUUCUGUUCACUUGAUGGACAAGAGAACAAUAUCGAAAAUGUGUGAAAUUUGAUUUUCAGAUAGUUUAAAUAGUUUAGAUCAUGUUUAAUGGUGCCGAUCAUCAAUUUGGAAGCGCUAUCAUCGAAAACAAAUCGGUAGUAAACCGCCCGGUUUACUACGGAUAGUAUUCUAGCAAAGCUCUCUCUCUCUCUCUCUCUCUCUCUCUCUCUCUCUCUAUAUAUAUAUAUAUAUAUAUAUAUAGAGAGAGAGUCCAGCUAUGGUGCUUGUAAAAGUACCAAGCAUUUGGUGCUUGUAAGUUUUUUACUGUUAGAUCUACUCCUCGAAUCAUUUUCAACAAUUAGAUUAUACUAUUCAACCAACCACCCACUCAACCCUAGGGGGUCCAUAUCAUCCUAACCACAUAUCUCUUAAUCCAAUGGCUAAAAAUCUACAAGCACUAAUAACUUGCUACUUUUAAAAGUAUAGGAGCUCAAUUAUAUAUAUAUAUAUAUAUAUAUAUAUAUAUAGAGCUAGGCUGGUAUACUAUCAGUAGCACGGAGGCCUCCGUGCUACCAAGUUGUUUUCAAUGAUGCGGCUUAUAAAUCAACGAUCGGCUCCGUUAGACUUGAUCUACACUAUUGAAAGUAUUUGGAAACUAAAUUUCAUAAUUUUUCGGCAUCAUUUACCAAUCAAACGAGUAGUCUAAAAAUGAACGGCUGAAAAUGAAAAUCUCAUAAAAAAUAGUGAUAAAGAAUUCAAAUUUCAAAUCGGAAGUAUUGGUCUUGCUAUUGAUGUUAAGUAGAAUUUUCUAUUAAAUUUUCAUCUAAUUUGGAUACUUCUACACCGUUGAACUUAAAAACGCAUCAUAUCUACCAUUAAAAUUGUUAAUUUUGGAACCUUUUGAUCACUAGCCAAAUGAUGUCGAAAAAUUAUAAAAUUUAAUUUCCAAAUGCUUUUAAUAGUGUAGAUCAAGUCUAACGGAGCUGAUCGUCGAUUUGAAAGCAGCAUCAUUGAAAACAACUUGGUAGCACUGAGGCCUCCGUGCUACCGAUAGUAUACCAGCCUAGCUCUAUAUAUAUAUAUAUAUAUAUAUAUAUAUAUAUAUAUAUAUAUAUAUAUUCGAGCUUUUUGAGUCUAAUUCGAACGAGCCAAGUAAUACUCAAGGUCGGCUUGAAAUGAAUUUCGAACCUUUUUUUUUGUUCAAGCUCGGCUUAUUUAAUUUCGAGUCGAGCUCGAGCGAGCCAAAUAUCGAGUCGAACGUGAGUCGAACGCUAGCUGGCUUGCUCAUUUGCCAGCCCUACUGUUCCUGUUCAUUCUUACGUAAUGUUCAGUUACCUGACUACUUUAGACUUCAUUGCCUCCAUUUUGGAUAGAUCAAAUGAGCUUGUCGCGCCUGAACAGCUCGUGCCAGCUUUAGCCCUUGAAAAUAAUGGCUGGCUCAGUUGGUUGGUUGAGAUUGAGCUUAAUUAGGAUGGCUUAAGUACGGAAAUUGAAACUAAAGAAAAUAGACAUACAUAUGUGGAAGAUAUAAUGAUUGUAGUGAUUUAUGUAUGGGUAUUCAUAUGUACUUUGAGGUGUUACAAUAAUGUAAUUCUAAAUGGUAAACUGCUGAGAGUACCAACAUUGAAGGUAAUUCUAAAGGUCUUGCCGCCUGGUGCACCAAGAAGAGAACAAAAAGCCUUGGCAUCAAGGCUGAUUUCGAGAAAGUUGUUUACCAAGUCAACUGGGUCUUGCUGGAGAAGAUUACACUUUGGAUAGAAUUUGUUGAAAAAUAGUGGCAGUGGAUUGAGCAAUGCAUCUCCAACGUCCAAGUCUCCAUUUUGCUCAACAGGAUGCCGACAAUGUUUGAUCAAAUGAAAUAGAGGGUUGAGACUAGGAGGGUUGCCGGAAGCCUCUCUAGCUUGACAACACGAUAGUCAAACUACCCUCGUACAACCUCCCAAAAGGACUUGGUUUGCCCCAAGAUAGUGGAAUUAUGCUUAUACAAUAUGCCGAUGAUACGAUAUUUUUCGAAGAAGUCAAGAAAUGAUACUUAUGAAACCUAUCAUUCAUCCGGAACAUCUUUGAAUGGGCUUUUGGUAUGAAGAUCAAUAGCGAGCAGUUUGAGGUAUUCUACCUGGGAAGAAGAUAAUACAGGGAUGAAAAACUGGCCUUAAUCCUGUCAUGCAAAGUUGGACAACCAUCCGGCAAGACAACUUCUUCUUCUCAAGGGGGCAAGCUGACCAUCAUCAAUUUAGUCCUCUCAAACUUCUUCUCCACUUUUAAAGCACUAAAAUCGAUCCUUCAUUGUCUUGAGAUGCUCAAACUAUCUUUCUUCUAGAAUUAAAAAAGGCUCCAAAGCCAAAGACAGUGCAUGUCAUGUCAGCUGGAAAAAUGUUGGUAAACACAAAAGGAAGGUUGGAUUGGAAUGAAGGAUUUGAAACUAAUGAAUCUAGCUCUCCUUACAAAAUGCUGACGGUGAUUCUUUAAUGAACCAGAUUUUUCAUGAAAGAAAAUCAUUAAAUCACUCUACUAUAGCAUAUAAAAGCUACGAAAAGAAGGGGCGUCUUUUAAACAGUAUUCUCAAUGGUGGAGGUAUAUUCUUGUUGGGGCUUAGGAUCAUUCUGUAUGUGCUAUAAACAAAAAUACAUGAACAAAAAAAUAGCAAAAAAUAAUAGAAAAGAAAUACACAGAAAAAGAAACAGCGAUUUAUGUGGUUCGGUAAGUGGCCUACGUCCACGGGAAAAGCGAGAGACAUGUAUCCUUUAUACGAAGGAAACAAAAAUACAAGCCCACACCUUUAUGUUUCUUUCAAUCUAAUACAAGAGCCUUAUGGUUAUUACCACCCUUCUCUUGUUACAAAAAAAAAAAGAAGAGAGAAACUCAACAAGCUAUUAAUUAAGUUUUCAAAGUUCUCCUAAUACCUCACUUAAUUUACUCGUUGCUUGUUGCUUGUGCUUCUUGUGCUUUUAUCUGUGAAGUUGGAAGCCUUAUAUAGCCAUGCAUGCAGUUGCACAAUUGAUGUUAGCAACUUCAAUUGUCAAUUUUUCUUAAUCAGCCUAUAUAUAGGCUUUUUGACAAUCAUGGCAGCAUGUCUUUCAUGCAUGCAUGCAUAAAAUACAAGCAUACUUUACCGUCCAAUGAAAGCCAUUCUAUUCAUACCUUAAAUAGUUUGGUAGACCUAGUGUGCCAUGAAUCAACUUUCAUAUUUAUGUCUCUUUUGCCUAUUAGUCCGAAAACCUUAUGGGUCAAACAAAUAUUUUUAUGCCCUAUACAAAAGAAGACAUAUAACCAACAAUCUCCACCUUGUCUUCAUUUGUUCUUAAUUCAGUCUCUCUCAUCUUAAUGCUCUCUCUCCCUAGAGCUUCCAGCCAUCAGCAAUCCUACAAAUUUGCCAAGUUUAGGCGAUGCCUUGUUACCGGCUUUGUCAUGAUGUCACAAUCAAUAGUAGCGUAAUAUUUUGAGAGCCAAUCCAUUCCAAGCAUUAAGUCGAAACCCUUCAUACGGCUCAACACUAGCAAAUCCGUCGGCAUAAUCCAAUCACCAACCUGCACUAGACAAGCCGCACACUCCUCCUCGACACUAAAAGUGUGCUCAGGAGUAUAAACCCACCAAGCGUCCGCACUAUCCGAAAUCUCAAUGUCAUGACUUUUAGCAAACGACCUACUAAUGAAUGAGUUUGAUGCACCUGUAUCGAAUAAUGCUCGAGAUCUAGUGCCUUUAAUUAAAAAAAUACCUGCCACGACAUCGUCGACCACGGCAGGUUCCUCCACCUGAGGAGCAAAAACAUGACCACUCAGUACAGAUCAGGUUCCCUCAGACUGACGCGGCAUAGAUGAACGUUUAGCAGACUUGGCGGGUGGAAGACCCGCAAGCUGUCUCAGGGUCGACUGAACUGAUGCGGCUGAUGGGGCAGGCGAUACUCCACUCGGGCACUCUCGACUCAGGUGCCAGGCUGACCACACCUAUAGUACCUCCCCUUACACUGUGAACAGCUCGAUGGUCGAUGAUCCCUGCCACAAAUAACAUAUCUGAAAGGUUCCCGAUACCUCGACUGUGAUCGUGGAUACCGAAGGGGCCGCUUAGAACUCAACUGUCCCCCGGAACCACUUGCGGUUCGCUUCUUUCCUUUAUCCCUGUCCUUUUCCUUCUUAAACGAUUCACGUUCAUCACGCGCAAUCGCAUUACCUCGCUCCACCCAAAGAGCACGAUCCAAUACUUUCUCAAAAGUCUUCAACUUGAAGGCAUGUAUCACUUUGAAUAUCUCGGGUCGCAACCCUCGCUCAAAACAUUUUGCCUGAUCUCACGUGAAUCAUACCUGGAACACAGUUCACCAAAUGCAAGAACUCCCGUUCAUACUCUCGUACAGAACGAUUUCCUUGUCUCAAUUUACGAAAGUCCUCUUUCAUUUUUUUUUAUUGCUAUCCGGAAAAUACUCCAUAAAUAGUAAGUCGCGAAACUCAUCCCAAGAAAUCGGA